UCAUGAAAGAUCAAAACACCACAACUCCACAGACUGGUCUAAAUCUCCACCCCCUUCCCUUUGAAAUCCCAUGAUUUUACAGUCACUUGUACAUAUCCCUCCCUUGGGCUUUGUUCCCUCCAACAUCACUGCACUUGCAUCGUUAAGAAUCCCAUUACUGCAUGGAAUAGUGCUAAUCACCUCCUUAAUCUCAUCAUAACCAUACUCUAAUGGAACUUCUCCCCACGGCCCAUUGAAGCCAUUGAAUAUCUUCUGGGUUUCAUCCAACCCACUGUAGAAAUAGUUGUCAUUUACCCCCAUCUAUUCACCUCCACCACAUUGUAGACCAUUCUCCUUACUGUAGCUGAUCUGGCUGCAGCUCCUAUCAGAAGAGCUACAGCUAUUCUCCCCUCCAAGCAUGUAAGCUCCAUCUUUCAUUUGAUAUGAAUGGUGUGGAUGAUGGUGGUGGUGGUAGUGAUGUAUGGGAAACCUCUCAUGGGUUUGUAAGAUGCAGCUGGUAGCAUUGAAAAAGUCUGGUGGGGCAGGCAUCCCUGCAAGGCUUGUGGGAGAUUUUUGAAGGGGUGAGAAAGCUUCAUAAGGAGAUGGGAAGGGUGGUUGCUGCUGUGGUUUUCUUUGAGAGGGAAGAUUCCCAAUCAAUCUAAUUUGAAAUGUUUCUGAGUUUCAGUUUGAUGGUAGCAUUUAUAAGUUUUGAUCAGGUAGCAAAUUACUGAAAUUGAUUUGGUCAUCCAUCUCUUUAAUCAAAUUAAGCGUAGUAGAAGAAAGUUUCUAUUGGCCUAAGAUGCACAGAGACGUCUCCAAGCAUGUGGAGAGGUGCACAAAAUACUAGUCUGUAUGCACUCAGAUUUCAAGGAGUGGAGAGCUUCUCAUUGUGCAAGUUGGCUAGUUUGCAAAUUGCCUGAUUGAGGCUAGAAAUUAAUUGCAGCAUAAAUCUGAGAUCAUUCAACGCAAGUUUACAAUAACAAAGGCACUGCUAUUUAAGGCUGACAAGUCAUCGUUCGACCGCCUUUGUCAACAGACCAUGUACAUGGAUGGUAUUCUCCAGUUUGCAGUUUGUGUCAACGGAACUGUGCUUCAGCGAUCCAGACCAUUGAUACUAUGGGCCCCCACUUUUGAAGGGCAUAUCUCGAAAACCAUUCAGAUGAGAAGACCCUUCCCAACUCAGUUGGAUGAUGCGGUUGUAUGAUGAACAUAUGGGAAUAUGAUUAAAUGAAAUGAUCGAUGUUUGGCUUAUCUCGAAAUGAAAGUCCUUUAACAAGGCUAUUGCUUUAGAUAAUUUUUAUUUUAUUUACGUAACCAAAAAAAGCUGAUUGGA
Molecule: RNA transcript, 1312 nt
Organism: Magnolia sinica
Lineage: Eukaryota; Viridiplantae; Streptophyta; Magnoliopsida; Magnoliales; Magnoliaceae
Exons: 3
Source: RefSeq, a predicted model, not a curated record